AUGGUACAGGAAAAUAAAAAACUGUAUAAACAGAAAGCACUUUUAAGGUGGUUAUACCACAAUUUAAUGCCAUGUCCAUCUGCUUAUGCUACAGAUUGGCAGGAGGCACCUAUGUCAUUAAUCAGAAACUUGCAGGAGCAAGCAUGGAGACAAGGGAAGGAGACCACCAGAAGUCGUGGCACUGCACAGCCUCCUGCUCAAAGCAGGCUCCACCACUCCCAGCCAGCUCAGUUAUGCCGUCUGCUGAAGUCAAAGGGAACUUCCUUGAGCAAUGCCUGUUUUCAUCAUGGCUUUCUGCUUGGGAAACAACUUUGACCUUGAGCAUUUUUUACAAGAGAAGGAGCAUCAGCUAACACCCACUAGCUAAGUGAAGGUAUUUUCUAAAUGUUUUUUCUUUUUCAGUUACUUUUUGAAAAAGAGCUAUGCCUCUUGACUUGUCCCACCAAACAGUGUGAAAUCAUUACAGUAAUUUAAAAUCCAUACGCCAUUAGAAACCCUUGCCAAGGUUCAUAUAAAUGCAUAUUUCCCUGUCUUUGCUGUCCCCCUGGACCAGAGCAGUGAACACGAGGAGUAUCAUUACUGCAGCAGCUGGAGUCCUGCUCUGUGUGCUGUGGAGCUGUGUGAUGAGCCAAUGAUACUCCUCAAAACCAACACUAAAAUAUGUCUUUUCCAGUUCCUCCGGGAACUCAGAGGGCUUGGGAUAUGUCUUUUGGAUGUCACCACUAAAUAGUGACAGUCUGGAGAGCAACGGUGAAAAAAAUAUUUCCCAGAAGAUUUUGUAGGCUGAAAUUUGGUAUGCAUCAAGAAAUCAUAAAAUAGUUUGGACUGGAAGGGAAUUAAGAUCAUCUAACUCCCAACUCCCCUGCCAUGGGCAGGAUUGCUACCCACCAGAUCAGGCUGCUCAGGGCCCCGUCCAACCUGCCCUUGAGUGUCUUCAGGGAUGGGGCACCCACAGCUUCUCUGGGCAGACUGUGCCAGUGCCUCACCGCACUCUGAGCAAAGAAUUUCUUCCUACUGUCAAAUCUAAAUUUAUUAUCUUUUAGUUUAAAAACAUUAUGUCUUGUCCUAUCACUUCACUGCCUGGUGAAGAGUCCCUCCCUGUCUUUUCUGUUGGACCUCUUUAGAUACUGGAAAGCCACUGUAAGGUCUCCCUGGAGUCUCCUCUAGACUGAACAACUCCAGGUCCCUCAGCCUUUCUUCACAGAAGAAGCAUUCAAGACCUCUGAUUAUCCUCAUGGCCCUCCUCUGGACCCAAUCCAACAGCUCCAGUUCUUCACUGAGCUAGGGGUCCCAGGUCUGGAUGCAGUACUCCAGAUGGAGCCUCACAAGGGCGGAGCAGAGGGGGAAGGAUCACCUCUCUUGACCUGCUAGUUACGUAUUUUAGAUACAUUCAUGACCUUGGUGACUGUUUGUCACUAAAUACAGCAACCCUUCAGCACCAACAACUUCAACAUUCUUGUACCCUCAAAUACACUGAAGGAACCUCUGUCCCUGCUGCUUGUCUAAUGGAAUGAUCAUGGAGCUGUGCCUUUGAUGGUGCGUACAUGCAGCCCUGGAGCCAGAUUCAGGGUUCAUAACAGCAUCUGCCCAUAGCAAAAGAGCUGGGGUUACUAGUGGACUCAUUCCAGUCUGGCCCAGGAAGGGCAGUGGGAAGGGCAUCUGGGCAGCGGAUCAUCACAGAAACGCAACUCCAAAGACAUGUGACCUCUCACUAUGGAUAAGAAAAGGAGCAAACCUGGAUCUCCCUGUUGCUGGAUUAACACUAGCAGACUUUCUCCCUCCUUCAAAAUCUUCCAGGAAGCAAUAGGAUUGGAGCAUCUCCAAAAUGCAUGCUGAUUCGUUUAUGCCACAGAGCACUGAAGAAAAGAAUGAGAGGAACUAGUUGGUAGGAGCCUAGAAACUGGCCCUGUUUAUUUUCAUACUCCAUUAGAAUGUUCAGUUAUUAAAAAAUUAUAUACUAAUUUCUCAGAAAAGGAAUGUACGCAUAUUCUACUGACUACUCAAAUUAUUACAGAUUACUUGACAUGCAAUAAUGCAAUUUUCUGUUGGUUAGUUAGCUGUUUGCUGACAUUUCCACGAUAUAUAGUUGGGGUUAUAAUAGCUUCAUAAGAUGGUGGUAAUGAUUUGAAAUACAGAAGCUGAGAUGUACAUGGGUACUGUACUUACUAGCAGGCAUGUGAGAAUAAAUUAGAAUAUCUUGUAUGUCUCGGCUAAAUA
This is a long non-coding RNA of Numida meleagris (helmeted guineafowl), 2217 nucleotides long. NCBI's taxonomy places the organism in Eukaryota, Metazoa, Chordata, Aves, Galliformes, Numididae. The record is from Ensembl.